Antechinus flavipes (yellow-footed antechinus) is the source of this 1184-nucleotide long non-coding RNA. RefSeq lists it as uncharacterized. NCBI's taxonomy places the organism in Eukaryota, Metazoa, Chordata, Mammalia, Dasyuromorphia, Dasyuridae. The record is from RefSeq and is a predicted model, not a curated record. The transcript has 2 exons.
UCAGCCACAAAACCUCUAAAGGCAUUUGGCACAAAAGCUGGCUUGAUCCUUGCUGGGGAUCCCACCCGGACUGACUUCUAGAUUGGGAACAUGAUCCAUUAGAAAGGAUACUGCCCUUGGGGUCAGGAGGCUCUGGUUAGAACCCUAAUUAUUCUUUCCCUUUUGGAGGACUUUACCUCUUCACUUGCAAAAUGACUAAAUUUUAUCUAAACAUCCUUUCAACUAUACCAUUCUAUGAUCCUAUGAUCCCACCCUUCAAAGCCCCCACAAUAUUCUCCCCACCCAUUCACCAAGUGGUCAUUUAGUCUUGGUUUGAGGAUUCCUGCCAGACACACCAUUGCCCCUUACAGAAAGACAAAAAUCUGCCUUUUAGAAACUUCCAUCCAUUUCUUUGAGUUCUAGGGUUAAACAGGACAAGUCUUGGCAAAUAGCAACCUUUCGGAUAUUUAAAGAAAUUAAACCCCAUCCCACCCCGCUCCUAAACCUCUUCAGGAUACACAGCCUCAGUUCUGCUCGUGUCUAAUAGUAUUCCACAGGAAGGAGCAGAUACCAGUGAUCUACCCCCCAUUCCCCACAGAAGCUCUUGUGCUCCACCCCACUGAGCAGAAGUCCCGAAGAAGAAGCCGGCUGUCUGGACUGGAACAACCAUCCAUCCCCUGCUCUUUCCUUGGAUGGCCAUAGAAACCCAUUCAUCCAAGGUGGGAAGGCAUGGCCAGGAGCUAUAUCACAACCCCUCUCAGGCUCUGGAUGUUCUGAUUCACGGACUGAGCCAACCUGAAGCCCAAGAUUGUAGUCAUUCGAGUUCCGUAGAUAUUUAACUCCUAUUCACCUCAUUGUUCUGGUCCCUCCUCUCCAAGUGCAUUCCAGACUCUACAUCUCUCUCUCCAAACGGAAAUCAGACCUGAAUAUAAUAUUCAGACAGGGGAAUGAUUAGUUUAGGGAUAGCAGCAUAUCCCCUGUUCUCAACAUAAGCUAUUAAUCUAGCUUACUUUGGGAUUCAGGGUUCUCUGCAUACUGUGUGCCACGGAAACUUGCUUGACAUAAAUGACUCCAUCUUGAAUUUUUCAAUAAAAUGCACAUUUCUAGUCCAUUUACAUGUAAUCUGAGUGGGUAGAUAUGAUAGCUAGAUGCUUAUGCUGAACACGCCUGGUUACUUUGAAUAAACAAUUGUUUGUACUGGUUAA